Molecule: long non-coding RNA, 1575 nt
Filed under: Bos taurus (domestic cattle)
Lineage: Eukaryota; Metazoa; Chordata; Mammalia; Artiodactyla; Bovidae
Description: long non-coding RNA NONBTAT015305
Source: RNAcentral
GUGAAAAUGUACACAGUUCAGCCUCAGACAGUGGUAAUAUUGGUUUUAUUGGGAGCUGUCUCACCUCGAAAAUACCUUGACCUCUGUUGGGAUUUCAAACCGAGUCAGACUCAAUCGAGUUCACGUGCGAGGAGAAGGGUCGUUCCGAGUCUGAGCUCGCCACCUCGCAUCCCCCAGAUUCUCAUAACCCAUUAUCUCACGCCAUGCGAGAGGAGCUUGGAAACGAGCACUGAAAAACAGCUCUGCAUCUUAAGUUCCCACAAGAGAGUCCUUUUGACUUUCUGCUCCUGACCUCAGACAUAACUGGCCACCUGUAUGGAGAUGCAGAUCGACCCAGGACUCGCCUCUCCUGGGUCUUUGCUUGGGGAUGGCCACUUCGUGCUCGAUUUCCUAGAAGAAGACUGGAGUAUUCUGUCAGGGCAGUUCAGAUGGCGUCAGUAUCAUUCAUUGUUCUCUGGGUUCUCUGUCCCUUUUCCUGGACAACGCCACCAGCUGUUCCAGUUUUUGGGGGGCAAAGAUAGAUGGCCAUUCCUAAAAGCUUCACCUGUGCACCCAUAUCAUGGAUUUUCCUCCCUAGAGUGAGAGAUGGUUCUAGCUUACUCUUUUCUGCCCAACAAUGUUGCAUCUAUCCUAAAGCGGGUAUAAGAAGUUUUGAAACCUAGUUUAGUAAAACCUUCUUUGUAUAAACUCCCUAAUUAUCUGAGGCCCCUAUAUUUCUCAAAAAGUAUUUUCACUUGCAGUGGAUUGGGCAAACUCGUUCUUUCUUAUUUUGGGUCCCGAGGCCCAUUCUCAAGUUUCAUACCUAUUCCCCCAGUCAACAUGCUUGACAUAAAACCAAAUCAGUUGCCAAGCACACUUUGUUUUGCAUAGGAGUGCAGCUUAGGAAACAGCAGUGGGAAGGCCGCAGCCCGCUCUGCAAAAUGUUGGAAAUCACCCCACGGUAGCACAUUGAUAUGACCAUCCAUGAGAAUAUACUGAAAAUGCGCUUUCAUUAAUAAUGCCAAGAAACAUUUUAUUUGGCCUUAUAAAGUAGAUCGUGAUAAUGAAAGCUUUGUAAUAGAUAGUCUUGAUUUCUUCCCUUAUUAAUCUGCCAAAGACAGGAAUGGAUACAAGAAUUUUAAGUCGAUUUUUGUUGACCAUUUAUGAUUGUAAUCGUGUUUAAUCUUCCAGAAAGCUUUCUAUGUUCUUCCGCCGUAAAACCAAAUGGAUGUUUCAGUCAAGUUCUCCUCACCCUCACAAACCUACACACGAAUCCUUUCGAAGCAGGUAUUGUAGAAUCUACGAAAUUCAAAUGUAUUUUAAUCCGAAGUAAACAGAGGAGUGUCUGAGACAUGAGUGUGCCCAACAGUUUUUAUUAUGAGAGACGCAUGGGUCUGGCUUAUUAACUAGCAUUUGCCAAGAAGACUUGUCUUAUGAAACUCGAGGUAUAUUUUGUUAUGCCAUUUUAUGUCCUUUUUUUUAAAAAAAAAAAACUUUGUGGAAAGUGAUAUGUUGAAUCAAGUGUAAGCUGAGUUUUCCAGACAACUGAAGUAGCUACAUCGUGAAUGUUAUUUUGUUAUUAAAGGGUUUUUACUC